AGAGCGAGCGCUGGCGGCAGGCCUAACACAUGCAAGUCGAGCGCCCGUAGCAAUACGGGAGCGGCAGACGGGAUAGUAACACGUGGGAACGCGCCCUUCGGUUCGGAAUAACUCAGGGAAACUUGAGCUAAUACCGGAUACGCCCUUACGGGGAAAGAUUUAUUGCCGAAGGAACGGCCCGCGUCCGAUUAGCUAGUUGGUGAGGUAAUGGCUCACCAAGGCGACGAUCGGUAGCUGGUCUGAGAGGAUGACCAGCAUCACUGGGACUGAGACACGGCCCAGACUCCUACGGGAGGCAGCAGUGGGGAAUAUUGGACAAUGGGCGCAAGCCUGAUCCAGCCAUGCCGCGUGGAUGAUGAAGGCCUUAGGUUGUAAAGUCCUUUUAACGGGGAAGAUAAUGACGGUACCGUAGAAUAAGCCCGGCUAACUUCGUGCCAGCAGCCGC
This 445-nucleotide ribosomal RNA is filed under the name uncultured bacterium. Its description in RNAcentral is "SSU rRNA". It matches the Rfam family "Bacterial small subunit ribosomal RNA", at positions 26 to 518 of the family's 1533-position model. The record is from RNAcentral.